GCCGUAGCUCAGAGGUAGAGCAUCUGCCUUGCUUGUGAGAAGUCCCAGGUUCAAAUCCCGGCAUCUCCA
Podarcis lilfordi (Lilford's wall lizard) is the source of this 69-nucleotide non-coding RNA. NCBI's taxonomy places the organism in Eukaryota, Metazoa, Chordata, Lepidosauria, Squamata, Lacertidae. The record is from the annotation of a GenBank genome assembly.